RNAcentral lists this long non-coding RNA (968 nucleotides) under Gallus gallus (chicken). Lineage: Eukaryota; Metazoa; Chordata; Aves; Galliformes; Phasianidae. The record is from RNAcentral.
AACUUCAAAUCACUGCACGUCUGACUAUGAUUCCAUUCUUUCACUGUGAUUAAGAAGAAAAUGAUCUCUUUAUAUUCACAGGACUUUCAGAGCUUAAAUUUGUUGCUGCCAGAAUACAAGAAACUUUGUUGCUUUAGGAUAGAUUAUAGAACAGGACAUCCUAGUGCAAUGUUAUAAUCCUAGAAGUCUUUUUGCUUCUUCACUCUGUGCCAUCAGAGUUUCACUAGCAUACUUCUGAAGAAGCUCCAUCUUCUUCCUCCGUACAAGAGCUUCCUCAAUCUCCUGUUGAGAUGGCACUGGAACAUGUGCAAUAAAUUUCUGUUGGCCGUCUUCGCCUUCUUUUUCUUUGCCACCCUCCUCAUCAGACUCAUCAUCAACAGCGUAGAUAUUUUCUUCCUCUUCCUCCUCCUCCUCCCCUCUCGCAAGUCUUGCCUCCCUCUCCAUUUUCCAUUUUUCCACUGCUUCUGCUAUAACUUUCUUCUCAUGUUCUUGUUCCAGGGGCUCUAGAAUGCCAUCAUCUUCAUCCCUGUAGCCAUAGUAUUCUGCAUCAAUGGAUUUCAUCAGUUCCGCACGGGUUUUCCGGGGUGGUGGGAGGGGCUCCUUCUCAAAAAGUUCUCUAACUCCUGGUAAAUCCUUUGCAGCUCCAAAGUAUUUGUAACCUCUGUUCCCUGGAACUUCCUUCCCCUCGUGAUCUAACAUCCUCGGUCCAAUUCUAGCAUAAUCAGGACCUCCCAGCUCCCUUAUUCGGACUUCCCAGUGCCCUUUUUCCCUCAGAAGUUUGUUUAUUUCAUCAUUCAGGUCCCGAAUUCUGAAUUCACCCAAUCCAGCAUUUUGAAUCUGUGCCACUUUCUUGGAGAUUUCCCCAAUGAUCUGCCGUCUCCACUUCUCAGCUUUUGGCAAUUCAUUACACUCUGAUGCAAGGAAAGGUCUUCGUUCCUUAACUUUUCCUUCUUCAAGCUGAGCUUGAC